This 497-nucleotide ribosomal RNA is filed under the name uncultured bacterium. RNAcentral describes it as "partial 16S ribosomal RNA". It matches the Rfam family "Bacterial small subunit ribosomal RNA", at positions 28 to 507 of the family's 1533-position model. The record is from RNAcentral.
GACGAACGCUGGCGGCGUGCUUAACACAUGCAAGUCGAGCGAACAGACGAGGAGUUUGCUCGUCUGACGUGAGCGGAAGGCGGGUGAGUAACACGUGGAUAACGUACUUAUAAGAGUGGGAUAACUUCGGGACAGCGGAGAUAAUAGCGGAUAAUAUAUUGAACCGCGUGGGUGAAUGGUGAGUGUCGGUUUUGCGGUCACGAAUCGAUGGUUCCGCGCCGCAUUGGAUAGUUGGUAAGGUAACGGGUUUACAAGGCAAGUAUGCGUAGCCGAGCUGAGAGGGUGGUCGGCCACACGGGAGGGGAGACAGGGACCUGACUCCUGAGGUAGGCAGCAGAAGGGAAUCUUCCGCAAUGGGGGAGAGCCUGACGUAGCAACCCGGCGUCAGUGAUGAAGGUCCUCGGAGCGGAAAGCUCUGUUAUUAGUGGAGAACAAAUGUGUAAUUAACCGUGCAGGUAUUGACGGUACCGGAUCAAAAAGCCACGGCUAACUACGUG